AUUGAACGCUGGCGGAAUGCUUUACACAUGCAAGUCGAACGGCAGCACGGGGCAACCUGGUGGCGAGUGGCGAACGGGUGAGUAAUAUAUCGGAACGUGCCCAAUCGUGGGGGAUAACGUAGCGAAAGUUACGCUAAUACCGCAUACGAUCUACGGAUGAAAGCGGGGGAUCGCAAGACCUCGCGCGAAUGGAGCGGCCGAUAUCAGAUUAGGUAGUUGGUGGGGUAAAGGCUCACCAAGCCAACGAUCUGUAGCUGGUCUGAGAGGACGACCAGCCACACUGGAACUGAGACACGGUCCAGACUCCUACGGGAGGCAGCAGUGGGGAAUUUUGGACAAUGGGCGCAAGCCUGAUCCAGCCAUUCCGCGUGCAGGAUGAAGGCCUCGGUUGUAACUGCUUUGUACGGUAACGAAACGGUACUGCCCUAAUACGGCGGGCUAAUGACGGUACCGUAAGAAUAAGACACCGGCUAACUACGUGCCAGCAGCCGCGGUAA
This 497-nucleotide ribosomal RNA is filed under the name uncultured bacterium. RNAcentral describes it as "bacterial SSU rRNA". It matches the Rfam family "Bacterial small subunit ribosomal RNA", at positions 30 to 523 of the family's 1533-position model. The record is from RNAcentral.